UACGUAGGGUGCAAGCGUUGUCCGGAUUAUUGGGUUUAAAGGGUGCGUAGGCGGCCCUGUAAGUCAGUGGUGAAAUACUCUAGCUUAACUAGAGGGGUGCCAAUGAUACUGCAGGGCUUGAGUACAGAUGAGGUAGGCGGAAUUGACGGUGUAGCGGUGAAAUGCAUAGAUAUCAGGAGGAACACCUGUGGUGUAGACAGCUUGCUGGACCAUUUCUGACGCUGAGACACGAAAGCGUGGGUAGCAAACAGG
Molecule: ribosomal RNA, 252 nt
Filed under: uncultured bacterium
Lineage: Bacteria
Description: partial 16S ribosomal RNA
Rfam family: Bacterial small subunit ribosomal RNA
Source: RNAcentral